This 87-nucleotide unclassified non-coding RNA is filed under the name Pseudomonas psychrophila. Lineage: Bacteria; Pseudomonadati; Pseudomonadota; Gammaproteobacteria; Pseudomonadales; Pseudomonadaceae. The record is from RNAcentral.
UGUGGGAGCGGGCUUGCUCGCGAUUCAGUCGACGCGGUGUAUCUGAACAACCCCGCCGAUGCUAUCGCGAGCAAGCCCGCUCCCACA